AGAGUUUGAUCCUGGCUCAGGACGAACGCUGGCGGCGUGCUUAACACAUGCAAGUCGAACGGAAAGGCCCUUCGGGGUACUCGAGUGGCGAACGGGUGAGUAACACGUGGGUGAUCUGCCCUGCACUUUGGGAUAAGCCUGGGAAACUGGGUCUAAUACCGAAUAUGACCAUGCGCCUCCUGGUGUGUGGUGGAAAGCUUUUGCGGUGUGGGAUGGGCCCGCGGCCUAUCAGCUUGUUGGUGGGGUAAUGGCCUACCAAGGCGACGACGGGUAGCCGGCCUGAGAGGGUGACCGGCCACACUGGGACUGAGAUACGGCCCAGACUCCUACGGGAGGCAGCAGUGGGGAAUAUUGCACAAUGGGCGCAAGCCUGAUGCAGCGACGCCGCGUGAGGGAUGACGGCCUUCGGGUUGUAAACCUCUUUCAGCACAGACGAAGCGCAAGUGACGGUAUGUGCAGAAGAAGGACCGGCCAACUACGAGCCAGCAGCCGCGGUAAUACGUAGGGUCCGAGCGUUGUCCGGAAUUACUGGGCGUAAAGAGCUCGUAGGUGGUUUGUCGCGUUGUUCGUGAAAACUCACAGCUUAACUGUGGGCGUGCGGGCGAUACGGGCAGACUUGAGUACUGCAGGGGAGACUGGAAUUCCUGGUGUAGCGGUGGAAUGCGCAGAUAUCAGGAGGAACACCGGUGGCGAAGGCGGGUCUCUGGGCAGUAACUGACGCUGAGGAGCGAAAGCGUGGGGAGCGAACAGGAUUAGAUACCCUGGUAGUCC
This 771-nucleotide ribosomal RNA is filed under the name uncultured bacterium. RNAcentral describes it as "bacterial SSU rRNA". It matches the Rfam family "Bacterial small subunit ribosomal RNA", at positions 8 to 796 of the family's 1533-position model. The record is from RNAcentral.